UAGAUACCCUAUUAUUUUAAAUGUAAAUAAAAUUUACUAAAGAAGUAUUAGUUAUGUUCUUGAAAUUUAAAGAUUUUGGCGGUAUUUUAGUCUAUUUAGAGGAACCUGUUCUGUAAUUGAUAGUCCACGAUUAACUUUACUUAAUUUAUAAAUUUGUAUAUCGUCGUUAUAAGAAAAUUUUAUAAGAAUAAUAAAUUUUUAAUAUUUUAAAUAAAAAUAUAUAUCAGAUCAAGGUGCAGUUAAUAUUUAAGUAGAAAUGGGUUACAAUAAAUAUAUUUAUUAAUGGAUUAAAAUAAGAAUAUAAUUUUAUGAAGGUGGAUUUAAUAGUAAUAAAAUUUAAAUAAAUUUUAUGAUUUUAGCUCUAAAAUAUGUACAUAUCGCCCGUCGCUCUUAUUAUAAAAUAAGAUAAGUCGUAACAUAGUAGAUGUACUGGAAAGUGUAUCUAGAAUGACAAAUUAGAGCUUGUUUAGUAAAGCAUUUUAUUUACAUUAAAAAGUUGUCGUGCAAUUCGAUUUAAUGAAAUUAAGAAAUUAUUUUUAUCAUUUAUUUUUUUUUAUUUUAAUAAAAAUAAUUUUAAAUAUUAUUUUUUUAGUAUAAUUUAUAGAAAAAAAUAUAUUAAUUAUAGUUAAAUAGUAUUGUGAGAGAAAGUUGAAAUAAAAUUUUAAUUAUAUAAAAGUAAAAUUGAUUUUUUGUACCUUGUGUAUCAGGGUUUAUUAAAUAAAAAUUAAUUAAGUUAAUUUUCUCGAUUUUAAGAGAGUUAAUAAAUUAUUUUUUUUAUUGUAAAAAAAAUAUUUAUAAUAAUUUAUUAGUAAUGAAAUGUUAUUCGUUCUUAAAGAUAUCUAGUUUAUUUAGAAAUGAAUUUAAUUCAGAUAUUUUAAUUUUAAUAAUUUAAUUUAUUAAAUUAUUAAAUUUUAAUGUUAAUAAUUAAAGGGAUUAGCUUUUAAUUAAAAAACUAUAAAUAAAUAAUAUAAUUAAUAAAAAAUGUAAGUUUAGAAAUAUCUAUCAUUAGUAAUUUGUUAUAAUUAAUUUAUUUUAAUAUAUUAUUUUAUAUAAUUUUAGGUUUUUUAUAAAUAAAUAAUUUUUAAUUUUUUAAAAUUAGAUAUAAUGAUAAAAUUAGUAUAUAAAUUGAAUAUUUUAAUAAUAAUUUAUUAUAGAUUAUUUAAAGGAAUUCGGCAAAUAUUUUACUCGCCUGUUUAACAAAAACAUGUCUUUUUGUAUUAUAUAUAAAGUCUAACCUGCCCACUGAAUUUAUUUUUAAAUGGCCGCAGUAUUUUGACUGUGCAAAGGUAGCAUAAUCAUUAGUUUUUUAAUUAAAAGCUUGUAUGAAAGGUUGGACGAAGUAAAAUCUGUCUCUAUUUAAUUUAAUAUAGAAUUUAAUUUUUAAGUAAAAAAGCUUAAAUAAAUAUAAAAGACGAGAAGACCCUAUAGAGCUUAAUAUUAUUAUAUAUAUAAUAAAUUAAGAUUUAUUUAAGUUUUAUUUAUAAUAGUAUUUUAUUGGGGUAAUAGAAAGAUUUAAAAAAUUCUUUUUUAAAAUUUACAUUAAUUUAUGAAUUUAAUGAUCCAUUUUUAGUGAUUAUAAGAUUAAGUUACCUUAGGGAUAACAGCGUAAUUUUUUUAGAGAGUUCUUAUCGAUAAAAAAGUUUGCGACCUCGAUGUUGGAUUAAAGAUUAAUUUAGGUGUAGAAGUUUAAAUUUUUGGUCUGUUCGACCAUUAAAUCUUUACAUGAUCUGAGUUCAAACCGGAGAA
RNAcentral lists this ribosomal RNA (1746 nucleotides) under Bembidion sp. NLG-2014. Its description in RNAcentral is "partial 16S ribosomal RNA". Lineage: Eukaryota; Metazoa; Arthropoda; Insecta; Coleoptera; Carabidae. The record is from RNAcentral.